GAAUGCGGCUGUUAAUGUGCACGGCAUGCACUCCUUUAUUGAAACGCACAUUCUUGGAGUAAAGUACGAUGGCUUUAAGCGUCGAAAAGAAAGCGGAAAUCAUCAAAGAGUUCGGACAGGGCGAA
Regulatory RNA element from Reinekea sp., 125 nucleotides. It matches the Rfam family "Ribosomal S15 leader". Rfam says of the family: The E. coli Ribosomal S15 gene 5' UTR can form two alternative structures. One that is a series of three hairpins, The other includes a pseudoknot. The record is from Rfam. Lineage: Bacteria; Pseudomonadati; Pseudomonadota; Gammaproteobacteria; Oceanospirillales; Saccharospirillaceae.